UUUGGACAGUGAUUUUAACCCUAACGCCAAAAACCCUUAAACCUUUCCCUAGUCCCAAAACCUAAUACACGGGUAUUACUUUCAGGAAGCCCCAAAACCCCCAAUAAUAUUUUUUUCUUUUUUUCAUAUUUUUUGGUCUAACUAACUCCAAAAGGUUGGAAAAGAGUUCCUACAAAGGUUUUGGACAGUGAUUUUAACCCUAACGCCAAAAACCUUAAACCUUACCCUAGCCUUGAAAUCUAAUACCCGGGUAUUACCUUCAGGAAGCCUGAACACCCCAAAUAUUUUUUUCUUCAUUUUACAUUUUUUUUGGUCUAACCAACUCCAAAAGGUUGGAAAAGAGUUCCUACAAAGGUUUUGGACAGUGAUUUUAACCCUAACGCCAAAAAACUUAAACCUUACCCUAGCCUCAAAAUCUAAUACCCGGGUAUUACAUUCAGGAAGCCCGAAAACCCCAAAUAUUUUUUUUUAUUUUUCAUUUUUUUUUGGUCUAACUAACUCCAAAAGGUUGGAAAAGAGUUCCUACAAAGGUUUUGGACAGUGAUUUUAACCCUAACGCCAAAAACUUAAACCUUACCAUAGCCCCAAAACCUAAUACCCGGGUAUUACUUUCAGGGAGCCCGAAAACCCCCAAUAAUAUUUUUUUCUUUUUUCAUAUUUUUUGGUCUAACUAACUCCAAAAGGUUGGAAAAGAGUUCCUACAAAGGUUUUGGACAGUGAUUUUAACCCUAACGCCAAAAACCUUAAACCUUACCAUAGCCCCAAAACCUAAUACCCGGGUAUUACUUUCAGGAAGCCCGAAACCCCAAAUAUAUUUUUUUUUUUUUCAUUUUUUUUGGUCUAACUAACUCCAAAAGGUUGGAAAAGAGUUCCUACAAAGGUUUUGGACAGUGAUUUUAACCCUAACGCCAAAAACCUUAAACCUUACCAUAGCCCCAUAACCUAAUACCCGGGUAUUACUUUUAGGAAGCCUGAACACCCCAAAUACUUUUUUUUUCAUUUUUCUUUUUUUUUUGGUCUAACUAACUCCAAAAGGUUGGAAAAGAGUUCCUACAAAGGUUUUGGACAGUGAUUUUAACCCUAACGCCAAAAAACUUAAACCUUACUAUAGCCCCAAAACCUAAUACCCGGGUAUUACUUUCAGGGAGCCCGAAAACCCCCAAUAAUAUUUUUUUCUUUUUUCAUAUUUUUUGGUCUAACUAACUCCAAAAGGUUGGAAAAGAGUUCCUACAAAGGUUUUGGACAGUGAUUUUAACCCUAACGCCAAAAAACUUAAACCUUACCAUAGCCCCAAAACCUAAUAAUACCCCCAAUAAUAUUUUUUUCUUUUUUCAUAUUUUUUGGUCUAACUAACUCCAAAAGGUUGGAAAAGAGUUCCUACAAAGGUUUUGGACAGUGAUUUUAACCCUAACGCCAAAAAACUUAAACCUUUCCCUAGGCCUUAAAAUCUAAUACCCGGGUAUUACAUUCAGGAAGCCCGAAAACCCCAAAUAUAUUUUUUUUCAUUUUUCAUUUUUUUUUGGUCUAACUAACUCCAAAAGGUUGGAAAAGAGUUCCUACAAAGGUUUUGGACAGUGAUUUUAACCCUAACGCCAAAAACCUUAAACCUUACCAUAGCCCCAUAACCUAAUUCCCGGGUAUUACUUUUAGGAAGCCUGAACACCCCAAAUAUAUUUUUUUUUCAUUUUUCAUUUUUUUUUGGUCUAACUAACUCCAAAAGGUUGGAAAAGAGUUCCUACAAAGGUUUUGGACAGUGAUUUUAACCCUAACGCCAAAAAACUUAAACCUUACCAUAGCCCCAAAACCUAAUACCCGGGUAUUACUUUCAGGAAGCCCGAAAACCCCAAAUAUAUUUUUUUCAUUUUUCAUUUUUUUUGGUCUAACUAACUCCAAAAGGUUGGAAAAGAGUUCCUACAAAGGUUUUGGACAGUGAUUUUAACCCUAACGCCAAAAACCUUAAACCUUUCCCUGGCCUUAAAAUCUAAUACCCGGGUAUUACAUUCAGGAAGCCCGUAAACCCCAAAUAUAUUUUUUUUCAUUUUUCAUUUUUUUUUUGGUUUAACUAAUUCCAAAAGGUUGAAAAGAGUUCCUACAAAGGUUUUGGACAGUGAUUUUAACCCUAACGCCAAAAACCUUAAACCUUACCAUAGCCCCAUAACCUAAUACCCGGGUAUUACUUUUAGGAAGCCUGAACACCCCAAAUAUAUUUUUUUUAAUUUUUCCUUUUUUUUUUGGUCUAACUAACUCCAAAAGGUUGGAAAAGAGUUCCUACAAAGGUUUUGGACAGUGAUUUUAAACCUAACGCCAAAACGUUAAACCUUACCAUAGCCCCAUAACCUAAUACCCGGGUAUUACUUUUAGGAAGCCUGAACACCCCAAAUAUUUUUUUUUCAUUUUCCUUUUUUUUUUUGUCUAACUAACUCCAAAAGGUUGGAAAAGAGUUCCUACAAAGGUUUUGGACAGUGAUUUUAACCCUAACGCCAAAAAACUUAAACCUUACCAUAGCCCCAAAACCUAAUAAUACCCCCAAUAAUAUUUUUUUCUUUUUUCAUAUUUUUUGGUCUAACUAACUCCAAAAGGUUGGAAAAGAGUUCCUACAAAGGUUUUGGACAGUGAUUUUAACCCUAACGCCAAAAAACUUAAACCUUUCCCUGGCCUUAAAAUCUAAUACCCGGGUAUUACAUUCAGGAAGCCCGUAAACCCCAAAUAUAUUUUUUUUCAUUUUUCAUUUUUAUUUUGGUCUAACUAACUCCAAAAGGUUGAAAAAGAGUUCCUACAAAGGUUUUGGACAGUGAUUUUAACCCUAACGCCAAAAACCUUAAACCUUACCAUAGCCCCAUAACCUAAUUCCCGGGUAUUACUUUUAGGAAGCCUGAACACCCCAAAUAUAUUUUUUUUAAUUUUUCAUUUUUUUUUGGUCUAACUAACUCCAAAAGGUUGGAAAAGAGUUCCUACAAAGGUUUUGGACAGUGAUUUUAACCCUAACGCCAAAAACUUAAACCUUACCAUAGCCCCAAAACCUAAUACCCGGGUAUUACUUUCAGGAAGCCCGAAACCCCAAAUAUUUUUUUUUUUCAUUUUUCUUUUUUUUUUGGUCUAACUAACUCCAAAAGGUUGAAAAAGAGUUCCUACAAAGGUUUUGGACAGUGAUUUUAACCCUAACGCCAAAACCCUUAAACCUUUCCCUAGUCCCAAAACCUAAUACCCGGGUAUUACUUUCAGGAAGCCCGAAAACCCCCAAUAAUAUUUUUUUCUUUUUUCAUAUUUUUUGGUCUAACUAACUCCAAAAGGUUGGAAAAGAGUUCCUACAAAGGUUUUGGACAGUGAUUUUAACCCUAACGCCAAAACGUUAAACCUUUCCCUAGCCCAAAACCUAAUACCCGGGUAUUACUUUCAGGAAGCCCGAAAACCCCCAACAAUAUUUUUUUCUUUUUUCAUAUUUUUUGGUCUAACUAACUCCAAAAGGUUGGAAAAGAGUUCCUACAAAGGUUUUGGACAGUGAUUUUAACCCUAACGCCAAAAACCUUAAACCUUACCAUAGCCCCAUAACCUAAUACCCGGGUAUUACUUUCAGGAAGCCUGAACACCCCAAAUAUUUUUUUUUCAUUUUUCUUUUUUUUUUUGGUCUAACUAACUCCAAAAGGUUGGAAAAGAGUUCCUACAAAGGUUUUGGACAGUGAUUUUAACCCUAACGCCAAAACCCUUAAACCUUUCCCUAGUCCCAAAACCUAAUACCCGGGUAUUACUUUCAGGAGCCCGAAAACCCCCAAUAAUAUUUUUUUCUUUUUUCAUAUUUUUUGGUCUAACUAACUCCAAAAGGUUGGAAAAGAGUUCCUACAAAGGUUUUGGACAGUGAUUUUAACCCUAACGCCAAAAACCUUAAACCUUACCCUAGCCUUGAAAUCUAAUACCCGGGUAUUACCUUCAGGAAGCCUGAACACCCAAAAUAUUUUUUUCUUCAUUUUACAUUUUUGUUGGUGUAACCAACUCCAAAAGGUUGGAAAAGAGUUCCUACAAAGGUUUUGGACAGUGAUUUUAACCCUAAUGCCAAAAAACUUAAACCUUACCCUAGCCUCAAAAUCUAAUACCCGGGUAUUACAUUCAGGAACCCCGAAAACCCCAAAUAUUUUUUUUAAUUUUUCAUUUUUUUUUGGUCUAACUAACUCCAAAAGGUUGGAAAAGAGUUCCUACAAAGGUUUUGGACAGUGAUUUUAACCCUAACGCCAAAAAACUUAAACCUUACCAUAGCCCCAAAACCUAAUACCUGGGUAUUACUUUCAGGAAGCCCGAAAACCCCCAAUAAUAUUUUUUUCUUUUUUCAUAUUUUUUGGUCUAACUAACUCCAAAAGGUUGGAAAAGAGUUCCUACAAAGGUUUUGGACAGUGAUUUUAACCCUAACGCCAAAAACCUUAAACCUUACCCUAGCC
RNAcentral lists this long non-coding RNA (4427 nucleotides) under Xyrichtys novacula (pearly razorfish). Lineage: Eukaryota; Metazoa; Chordata; Actinopteri; Labriformes; Labridae. The record is from RNAcentral.